CAGUCGCCGCGGUAAUACGAAGGGGGCUAGCGUUGUUCGGAAUCACUGGGCGUAAAGCGCACGUAGGCGGAUUUUUAAGUCAGGGGUGAAAUCCCGAGGCUCAACCUCGGAACUGCCUUUGAUACUGUUUGUCUUGAGUUCGAGAGAGGUAAGUGGAACUGCGAGUGUAGAGGUGAAAUUCGUAGAUAUUCGCAAGAACACCAGUGGCGAAGGCGGCUUACUGGCUCGAAACUGACGCUGAGGCGCGAAAGCGUGGGGAGCAAACAGGAUUAGAUACCCCUGUAGUCCCUGUCUCUUAUAU
This 301-nucleotide ribosomal RNA is filed under the name uncultured bacterium. RNAcentral's name for it is "partial 16S ribosomal RNA". It matches the Rfam family "Bacterial small subunit ribosomal RNA", at positions 509 to 809 of the family's 1533-position model. The record is from RNAcentral.